RNAcentral lists this ribosomal RNA (460 nucleotides) under uncultured bacterium. Its description in RNAcentral is "partial 16S ribosomal RNA". It matches the Rfam family "Bacterial small subunit ribosomal RNA", at positions 338 to 795 of the family's 1533-position model. The record is from RNAcentral.
ACUACGGGAGGCAGCAGUGAGGAAUAUUGGUCAAUGGGCGCGAGCCUGAACCAGCCAAGUAGCGUGAAGGAUGACUGCCCUACGGGUUGUAAACUUCUUUUAUAAAGGAAUAAAGUGAGGCACGUGUGCCUUAUUGUAUGUACUUUAUGAAUAAGGAUCGGCUAACUCCGUGCCAGCAGCCGCGGUAAUCCGGAGGGUCCGAGCGUUAUCCGGAUUUAUUGGGGUUAACGGGAGCGUAGAUGGGUUGUUAAGUCAGUUGUGAAAGUUUGCGGCUCAACCGUAAAAUUGCAAUUGAUACUGGCAGUCUUGAGUACAGUUGAGGUAGGCGGAAUUCGUGGUGUAGCGGUGAAAUGCUUAGAGAUCACGAAGAACUCCGAUUGCGAAGGCAGCUUACUAAACUGCCACUGACAUUGAUGCUCGAAAGUGUGGGUAUCAAACAGGAGUAGAUACCCUUGUAGUC